UGAGUUUAUAAUGGUUUACCAUUUCGUCUAUCUACCCAAAAAAAAAUCUGAUAAAAAUCCAAUACUAUCACCUGAGAAAUAAUGAAUGUUAAAUGGAAUUUUUUAUUUGAAUCAUGGUAGAAUAGAGAGUUUUCUACCGCAGAAAGUGCAUACAUCUUCUAGUGUCCUUUGGUCUCGGUUUCACAUUUUACUUACAAAGGGAAUAUAUUUGGUAUGACGCCCUUGAGCAAAAACUUGUCCAGUCUUUUUCUUCUUGAACUCCACGCUUACAACAGCUACAGCCUUUCCUAUUCGUAAAACUCUAGCAUCAAUCUCAAUCUCUUCAUUGACAUAAGUAGCAUCAAAGCAUGAGAUAUUAAUCUCAAUGGAAACUCCAGAAUUCCACGGAAAUCCAGCUGCGGGAAUUGCGGCUGCGCCUACUAUAUCCACCAGAGUUAGGGAUGGCAAUUGGACCCAGACCCAAUGGAUACCCGCAAAAAAUACCCACAAUGGGUAGGGUAAAACCCCGCUUUUCUAGGUCUGGGCACGGGUACGGGUAAUACCCACAAAAUUAAAUGGGUAUGGGCACGGGUAAGGGUACUAUACUGCCCAGACCCGCAGACCCGCAUAUACAUAUUUAUAUAAUAUCAUAAAUUAUUUAUUUAUUUUUUAUGUAUAAUUAAUUAAUUUAUUUAGCUGUUUAAGCCUAAACCUAAACUUAAAACAAACAACUACUUAAUACAAUAACAACUCCAUCAUGCUGGUGUAUAAUUUUUUAGGCAUAUUUCAGAUGUUUUCUAUUUGACUAAAUACCACGGUUCAUAUUAUUUUAUGAGUUAAUUUUAAAAAAUUGGGAUCGUAGUUUUAUUUCAUUUGUGAUGUUUUUUUUUUUUUGUUUUUCCAUAGUUAAAGUGCGGGUAAUGGGUGCGGGUAUGGGUACUUAAGUACCCAUAGGGUAUGGGGAAGGGGACUAAAGUUGUUGCCCACGAGGGUACGGGCACGGAUACGGGUAUUUUUUAUAAAUGCGGGUAUGGGGACGGGCAUUGUAGUACCCUACCCAUUGGGUACCCAUUGCCAUCCCUAACCAGAGUAGUUAUAGCACCACCGUGCAAGUAUUUACUUGAAUUCUGCGAAUUAAUUAGUUAAUAUUGGUAAAAAACAAAAAGAAGAUGAUGAAUAGUGUAGGAUACGAACGAGUAAACGUGGAGGUAUGUUCAUUGAGAAGACGACACGACCAGGUUCAAUGCGAUCCAAUCGUAGGCCGCGCAAGGUUAGAUGUUCCAGAAACUCCUGAGGCAAUUCAUCGUCUACCAUUGACGAUGCUUCUCCUUUCUUCGUUGACGCUUCUGUUUUUCCCAUUCUGUUUUUUUGUUUGUUUGUUUGUUUGUUUAGCAGCAUUGACUUUUAGUUUGUAGCUUUUUUUUCACCAUAUAAAAUUGAUAAAGAAGGAUAACACUUCACGCUGUCCUCUCGGUUUGAAUAACUUAGUCUAGAUAAGGAUGGUAAUCAAGUCAAUAAAAAUAAUGAACCUAUGACAAGAAGUUAGUCCAGUCAAAAAAAAGAAGACAAAUAUUUAACAGUUUAUGCAUACUUCUUCGUGUUUGUUUCAAAAGGUGUCCACAAGCAAUAGUCAACUUGAUCUAUUCAACCAACGAUUCAACCCAAUCUAAAGCAUUUGAUUAAAAAAAAAAAAUGUUUGUUUGUUUCUUUGUACCAAAAAUAAAGGAACGAUGUAACACUUUCACCUCACUGCCCUCUCAGUUUGAAUGCUCUCAUUAUAUUAUUAAAUUAAAUCCAAGCUAAGCCAAGUUUGCUUAAUUUUUAUUUUUUAGAAGCCAAAAAUAAGAUAAAUUAUAAAAGCUUUCAUAGCACAAGGCAUGUCAAGAACAUACAAUGAUUACAAAGAGUUUACAAGAUAGAAAUCAGGUGGAGUUUAACAUGGAAAAUGUCAAUCCUUUUCCACCAUGGACCAUUGCAAAUCAACCAUCAAAUUUUAGAGUAUAUUACAUCUUAUCAUGUGUGUCUCACACUAGAUCCAACUAUCCAUUUUCUACAACUCAUCUCCCUCAAUCCGGAUCUGCACAGUUUUAAUUUGUCCAAUUCUCAAUUCCCGACAUCUGGUAAGAAAGAUUCAACUCUUGAGAUCAAACAUUAUCUGAGAAGUAACAAAACAUUGAAACAAUGCCAAGUUCUCUCGCAUCUCCUGGAUAUCCUCAUGUUCUCAAAAUCUGGUUGUUAUAUGCAUCAGACUCACCGUCGCUGACUCACCGUCUUUCUCACCGUCGCGGUGUCCCCUUUUUCAGUUUUAUGAUGACAUCUAAGUGCAUGAAAUUGGAGAUAAUUUAGUAGUGCAUGUUUAAUCUUGCAAGGUGAAGGCUUGGAUUUUACAAUUCUUUGAUCUCUCGUGAAAUUAAUUAAGUGUUUUAAUGACUAAUACCUCAAAUUCGUCCUUGAAUUUUGAAAAUCGGCCAAUUUCAUCCCUGAAUUUUGCGAAAUAUCAAAUUAGUCCCUGAAUUUUGCAGAAGUCCAUCAAAUUCGUCCCUCCGUCCAAAAGGUCCGUUAAUAGUGAUGAUGUGGCUUCUUGCAUGCUUUGUUGUCCUGUACACGUGUCAGCAAGUCAGCCACGUGUACAAGGACUAAAUUGAUGGAAAUGGUCAAAAUUUGAUAUUUAACAUUUCAGUCUCUUUUUUCCUGUGUUUCCAAUUAUACCCCUCUAUUACAUGUAUUGUCCUGGAUCGAUUUGAGACUUACUGUCAUAAUUUGAGGACUAAUUUGAUGAAUUUUGUUAUAAUUUAAGGGCUCAUAUGAUUGAUUUUAUUUGCAGAGAAUGAGUACAAGGAGAUAUGGCAUGAGAGGACCAAUGAAUUCAAAUGACAUGCAUAAACAAACACCACUGAGGGGUCCUGCUCCACAAGAUCCAACUGCUCUUGGAGUUAUUAGAAUUUCAAAUCCAAAUUACGGGUCAUCCGCUUCUACUCAACCCCAAUACAUGGAGUUUAUCCCAGCUCCAGAAUUUCCAAAGCAUUGAUGCAUGUUUAAAUUAUGUUUUUGGACUAGUUUAAUUAAUGCUUUUUGGACUUGUUUAGUUUACGCUUUUUUGGAUAUAUAAUCACUUAAGAACAUCAAAUGAUUUGAUGACUAUGUAAUGUUAUUUUUUUGGCUAUGUAAUGACUUAUGAACAUCAAAUAUAUGACUUAUGAUGGUAUGAAAAUGUCCGUCUUUUUAUAAUCAAAGUGUCUGUCUUUUACUUUUUACUUUGUUCAGCAAAUGUAUGCACCAAGGAUCACAGUGAUAUCUGUUGUGAAAAUUCAAGGACCUAUUUGAUGGUAUUUAAACUAAUUUGAGGAUCGAUAUGAUGGAUAUGGAUAUAAUUCAAGAACCAAUUUGAUUGAAAUAUUUUGACAUAAUGGUUUGGUUCAUUCAUCGACAACCUCUUUUCAUUACAACAUUACAUGGACUUGGCAUAAUACAAUAUUAUUUUAAACAACUCAAUCAAACAAAAUACUCCUAUCAAUAUCUUAAUCAACCUAAGCUCACUUCCUACACAAUCAACUUUAUCCAUCAACCUUGUCCUCCAAAAUACACCUAGAGCUUGAAGAUGAAUACCGGUUGUUGUAGUUGUUUUUGCCCAUUUGCGCACCACCCAUCAAUUUUGAACACCGAAUCUACAAGGCAGACCACUUGAUUUAUGAAUUUUGAAUUUAAUCAAAAAAAUUAGGGUUAUAAGUUUUUUGAAUUGGGGAAGAAAUUUGACAUCAAUUCAUGGAAGAAAUUUUGGGGAUUUUGAACUUUGUAAGGAAUUAUAACAUUAGGGUUCCAAAUUUAUAUAUUUGGGGAAGAAAUAGCCCUUAAUGAGGAAGAGAAGAAAGAGCUGUUACUCACAAAGAAGGGAAAGAGCCGCUGCCAAUUUUCUGAAAAUCCAUCAAUUUGGUCCUUGGAAAUUUUGUGUAAAUUCAUCAAUUUGGUCCUUGGAAAUUUUGUGUAAAUCAAUCAGUUUGAUCCCUGCUUGCGUGGCAUCUUACGUGGUAAGCUUUGUCAGAGGUUAACGUUACACGUCACCUCCAUUAACAGACCAACUUAACGGAGGGACUGAUUUGUUUGAUAUUUUGUAAAUUCAUGGACUAAUUUGAUAUUUCGCAAAAUUCAGGAACGAAAUUAGCCGAUUUUUCAAAAUUCAAGGACGAAUUUGAGGUAUUAGUCGUGUUUUAAUCUCAUGUUUAACGAUGGCGACGACGACAGCGAGAAGAUGUAGCGGAGGAUUGCAGACCAGUUGCAGAUUUGUGUUUUGGUUCCUAUGGGUUUAAUUUACCAAUUCUCAAAAUAAGUUUUGCAAAUAAAAAAGAAAACUACAUAUAUAAGUUAAAUUAGUUGUGUUGGAAAGUGGAAAAGAAAUGAUCUAAUAUCGACGGUGUAUAAUAAGAUUAUGUUCUUCAAUUAAUUUAAUGUCAAAACAAUUAUACAAGGUGUCUACGACAAAAUCACAACUCAAAAUCAAUGAACAUCAAUGCCUAAAUAUUGUAAAGGUUAUGUACUACCGGUAAAAAAACAAAAGAAAAUAUGUAAACUUUUGUUUUAAUUCAUGACCAUAUCAAAAAAAUUAUCAUAUCAAUGAUUGGACCUUUCCUACGAUCUUGCUAAUCAAAAAUCAAAUUGUUACUAUAUUUCCAAGUCGAUCAAAUGCAUGCCAAGUACCAACAAUAUAGAGCAAAGAUUUUCAUGAUUUGCUUAACCAUGACACACAUGUUAAACUGAGUGACGUGUAAAAAAAUAUUAAACGAUGCACGUCUAACACUCAACCUAAUCUUUAUCAACACAUCUGACCCAACCUUGCUAAAAUAAAGGACAUUAAAAGAAUAAAGAUUGUGACGUUUCAUUCACUUCCCAUCCUCCUACACAAAAGGAGGAAUCUAAAUUAUUAAUCUCACGAGGAAGCACGUUGUAUUUCGUUGGAAGACGAUCAUCAUAAUCAAUCAAUAUAUUAAUAAUAGAGAAAUAAGUUUCUUUUCUUUUACCGAGUAAACAUCAUCAAACUUCUACUUCCAUCUGUCAGCUUUGCUUCCUUCACAAUUACUUGUACAUAUUCACAUUUUACUCUUAAGGGGAAGAUAUUUUAGGGGAAGAAAUUUUGUAUGACGCCCUUGAGCAAAAACUUGGCCAGUUUUUUUCUUCCUCAACUCCACGCUUAGAACAGCUACAGCCUUUCCUAGUCUUAGAACCCUGGUAUCAAUCUCAAUCUCCUCCUAACACAAAAAACCAGUAAAAAAAUAUCCUAUUCCUCCAAUUAUCAAAAUUUAAUAUCACAAAAAAAAAUUAAACAAUACAUCAUGUAAAAAAUUGAAAGGAGUGGUAUUAUUCAUUUACUUUCAGAUAUUUAAUCAGUCAUAAUUAUUCACUCUGUUGUGUCGGCAGCUAGCUACUGUAGACACUUUGUUUGUAUAUGAAGCUUCAAUAAAUGAACAAUGGACUCAGAUUCAAUAAGAAGUGGUAAAAAAGCAUCAUAACAAAGAGUUUGUCUUGGUGUUUUUGUAUAAAUAUGCAUUUUCUAUAAACGAAAAAGAUAUUCAAAUUUUCAAACCAUCGUUUUCAGCUAACUAGCUUUCACAUUAUCUCUAUUAUUAUAAUUAGAAAUGAAAAUUCAUAUCUAAAUGUCAUUCUGAUUCAAAGUAAAAAAAGAAAAUAGAAAUUUAAAAUGCUGUUAGAAGGUGAAGAUAGUUUCAUUAGUCUUUGUGAAUUAGCAAAUGUGCUUAAUGGACAUGGCUUGACAGUGUAAAAUAGUUUUACCAUACAACUAAUUACAAAAAUUGUAGGAUUAGCGAUAAUGCAAGAGUGAUUAAGCUUUGAAAUAAACUAACAUUGACAUAGGCAGCAUCCAAGCAUGAUAUAUUGAUCUCUACGGAAACUCCGGAUUUCCACGGAAAUCCAGCUGCGGGAAUUGCGGUUCCGCCUGCGAUAUCCACCAGAGUAGUGAUAGCACCACCGUGCAAGUACUUACCUGAAUUCUGCGAAUUAAUGAAUUAAUUUAUGUCAAAUGAAGAAGAAGAAGAAGAAGAAGAAGAAGAAGAAGAUUGAAGAGAGUACGAACGAGUAAACGUGGGGGUAUGUUCAUUGAGAAGACGACACGACCAGGUUCAAUGAGAUCCAAUCGCAGGGCGCGCAAGAUUAGAUGUUGCAAAAACUUUGGAGGAAAUUCAUCAUCUACCGUUGAUGCUAGUCUUUUCUCCAAAUACUUCUUCACUGAUUCCAAAUCUGGCAUAGUUCCUUCUGUUUUUUCCAUUCUAUUUUUUUUUUUCAAUGUAGCUUCUGUUUUUGAAAUAGAUUAUAAAGCUUUUUUUUUUUUUUUUUUUGGCAAAUGGUCUUUUAAGUUUUUCGUUUUUUCCAAAGUUGUUCUUUAAGUUUCAAAAGUCCUAAACAUGUCCUUUUUAGUUUUUGAAUCGUUUCAAACACGUCCUUUUAGAGGAUAACGGUGAUGAUUCAUAUGAUAGCAACAAAGAGCAUUAUCCACCAUUUGACAUGCCUAAAAAAUGAGUAAUUUUAAGUGGGUGUUAGGAGCCAGAUUCGGUACCAAAGAUGAGUUCAAGAAAGCAAUUACCAACUAUGCUAUCUACAAUAGGACUUGUUUGAAACGAUUCAAAAACUAAAAGGACUUGUAUGAGAAUUUUGAAACUUAAAGCACCACUUUGGGAAAAAUAAAAAACUUAAAGGACCUUUAGAUGUAUUUGACUUUUUUUUUUGUCUAAUAACCUAGUGGCUUGAGCAAUUAAAUGCGAAGUGGGGUGUUCGGGGUUCAAAUCCCGAUCCCUCCAUAAAUUAUGCAAUUUCCCUACCAACUGAAUUAAGUUCAAGAGGACUUAUAAACUUCUUUUUACAAUGAAUUUUGCUCUUCUCCCAACACAUUUUGCUCGCGCCUAACUGAACUUCCUAAAAUACCGCUAAGUGAGUUAACUCACGCACGUGUUAAUUCCCAACGUGAGUUAACUCACGCAAGUGUUAGUUCCAGCGUGAAUUAAAUUGUGCAGCGCAUGUUAAGAUGCAUAGAUUUUAACACAUGCAUUACUUAACUAACGCAGGGGUAUUUUCGAUAUUUCAGUUGGACGCGAACAAAAUGUGUUGGGAGAGAGUUGAAUUCUUUUACAAUAUAUAUAUAUAUAUAUAGAGACAAAAAUAAAGAUAUAAAGACCACUUUACCGGCCCUCGCGUGAAGAACGUGGUCCAAUAUAUAUAUAUAUACCAAAUCCAAGCUAAGCCAAGUUUUUUUUUUUUUUUUUGUGGUGAUCGGGGUUUGAACCCUGGACUUUGCAUAUUUUAUGUAUUGUUCUUAUCAAAUAAGUUAAGCUCACGAGGACGCCAAGUUUUUAUUAACUGCAUUUGGUUAAUAUUUUAAAGGGAUAAUAGUCGUUUUGGUAAAAAAAAUAAAAAAAUAUUUUGGUCAAUGUAACGAGUUAGUUAGAAUAGUUUAUCAAUAUAUCAAAAUUUCAAAACACAUAGGAUUGAUAUAGGGACGUUAAAAUAAGUAAAUACUUCAAUAAUACAAUAACUCUUUUCUUAUAUAACUGAUAGUGUAUUACAAGUGAGUACAUUGAAAACAGUAUUAACCAUAUAUUUUAACUCGAGGGACGAGUUGGAUGUGCAUAAUCAAGGACUACUUUAUCAUUUUGAUACAUUCAUUUACUAUUGUGCCUAUUUAUUACACAUUAAGAGACUAAAAUGAAUAUUUGAACAAUGUUUUGUUACUAAAAAAACUAAUAUAUCACGGCAUUUAUUGUUUUGUCUAUUAAGUGGAUAAAUAGUGUCUAUAGUAAUGGACGCGUAUAUUACUAGUUUGUUAAAUUUGAAUUUGCAAUGAAAUGAACCUAAAACAAGCAGAUAAAAGUGUUUAUGUUUUUGUUGUUGUUGACCGAACAGUGUUUCUGUUUAUUUCUCCUCUAUUUACUACUUUGUUUCGCAAUUUGGUUGUAAAGCCAAUCAUUUAUGUUUACAAAGAUUAAUGUAGCUACACCUCGAUGAUCUUUUGUCCUUUUGGAUACCUCCAUAACUUGCCAAUUGCCAUCACCCACCCUUUGAACCUCUAGAAAACAUUACUGGCCAAGUACAUUUCCAAAGGUCUUGAAAAAAAACCUAUCAGGUUUGCUUCCUUCACAAUUACUUGUAUGCACAUUCACAUUUUACUGACAAAGGGAAGAUACUUGGUAUGACGCCCUUGAGCAAAAAUUUGGCCCGUCUUUUUCUUCCUGAACUCUACGCUUACAACAGCUAUAGCAUUUCCUACUCGUAGAACCUUGUUAUCAAUCUCAAUCUCCUCCUACCAUUGCAUAAGCCAUAGGGAAUUAAACAAAGAAAGAACUAUUUUUGUGAUAUCUUCAUCACACAAAUUUAAUAAAAAAAACCAGGAAAAGAAUAUCAUAUUCCUCUAAUUAUCAAUUUGAUAUCACAGAUAACAACAAAGCAUGUAAAAAAUUGAAAGGAGUAGUAUUACUCAUUCACUUUCUGUUAUUUUAGUGAAUGAUACAUUACCGUUAGCUUAGUGGGGCAGUGAGAUAGUGUAGUCUGUAUAGAUGCUAUGUAUAAGAAGUUUCAAUGAAUGAUGAAUGAACUCAGAAGAACAUUCAUUCUCUCAAUUCUGUUCAGUCUUCACACUUCCUCAUUCUCAUAUUCAAUUAGCAGUGGUGAAAAACAUCAUAAAAAGAGUUUGUCUUUGUAUUUUAAGAAUAAAUAUGCAUCCUUUGUUUUCCCUUUAUUAAUCUAGACUGAAUACGGGUCCGUUUUCUUUUUCGGGUAAUACACUACAAAAGAUAACAUAAAAGUUUUUGAAAAUGCUGAAAUUUUGAAAACAUUCUUUUAAACAAGAAUUAGUGUUGAAGGGCAUUGUUUGUUUAUAAACCGAAGUCAUCACAACUAUGCUAACACAAAAUCACCCCGACAAUUAUUUACAGAACACCAAUAAAUAUUAGUAUUAAGAAACGAAAAAAGAGAUUGAAAUAUUCAAAACAUCGAUUUCAGCUGGAGGGACGUAUCCUCACUAAUUAUAGCUAUCACUUUAUAUGCAUCACAAUUACAAUUCAAAGUAAAAAUUGAAAAUGUUGUUAGAAAGUAAACAUAACUUCUUAAUUGAUGGUGUACAAAACCGUGAAAAACAAAUUUACAUCUUCUAUUAGUUAAUUAGGACAAUAGUAGUAUUAAAUAUUAAUUAAUUAAAAAAUGUUUGAUUAGCGAUAAUACAAGAGUAAUUAAGCUUUUAAAUAUACUAACAUGGACAUAAGCAGCAUCGAAGCAUGACACAUUGAUCUCGAGGGAAACUCCAGUAUCCAUUGGAAAUCCAGCGGCAGGAAUUGCAAUUGCUCCUACCACAUCCACCAGAGUAACAAUAGCACCAACGUGCAAGUGCUUACCUGAAUUCUGCGUGUUAAUUAAAUAAUUAAGGUCAAAACAACAACAAAAUCCAUCAUCAAAAGCAAGAAGAAGAUUGAGGAGAGUACGAACGAGUAAACGUGGAGGUAUGUUCAUUG
This 9482-nucleotide long non-coding RNA is filed under the name Medicago truncatula (barrel medic). RNAcentral describes it as "long non-coding RNA (MTRU_LNC001128)". The record is from RNAcentral. Lineage: Eukaryota; Viridiplantae; Streptophyta; Magnoliopsida; Fabales; Fabaceae.